GGAAUAUUGGACAAUGGGCGCAAGCCUGAUCCAGCCAUGCCGCGUGUGUGAAGAAGGCCUUCGGGUUGUAAAGCACUUUCAGUGGGGAGGAAAGGUUGGCGGUUAAUACCCGUCAGCUGUGACGUUACCCCCCGAAGACGGCCCGGCUAACUCCGUGCCAGCAGCCGCGGUAAUACGGAGGGGCCGAGCGUUAAUCGGAAGUACGGGGCGUAAAGCGCACGCAGGCGGUUUGUUAAGCUAGAUGUGAAAGCCCCGGGCUCAACCUGGGAAUCGCAUUUAGAACUGGCAGGCUAGAGUUUUGGAGAGGGGAGUGGAAUUCCAGGUGUAGCGGUGAAAUGCGUAGAUAUCUGGAGGAACAUCAGUGGCGAAGGCGACUCCCUGGUCAAUAACUGACGCUCAUGUGCGAAAGUGUGGGUAGCGAA
RNAcentral lists this ribosomal RNA (422 nucleotides) under uncultured bacterium. RNAcentral's name for it is "bacterial SSU rRNA". It matches the Rfam family "Bacterial small subunit ribosomal RNA", at positions 358 to 772 of the family's 1533-position model. The record is from RNAcentral.